This 469-nucleotide ribosomal RNA is filed under the name uncultured bacterium. RNAcentral describes it as "partial 16S ribosomal RNA". It matches the Rfam family "Bacterial small subunit ribosomal RNA", at positions 28 to 507 of the family's 1533-position model. The record is from RNAcentral.
GACGAACGCUGGCGGCGUGCUUAACACAUGCAAGUCGAACGGAAAGGCCCUGCUUGCAGGGUGCUCGAGUGGCGAACGGGUGAGUAACACGUGGGUGAUCUGCCCCUUAUUUUGGGAUAAGCCUGGGAAACUGGGUCUAAUACUGGAUAGGACCAUGCUGUAGGUGGUGUGGUGGAAAGAUUAGUUUCGGUAAGGGAUGAGCUCGCGGCCUAUCAGCUUGUUGGUGGGGUAAUGGCCUACCAAGGCGUCGACGGGUAGCCGGCCUGAGAGGGUGGACGGCCACAUUGGGACUGAGAUACGGCCCAGACUCCUACGGGAGGCAGCAGUGGGGAAUAUUGCACAAUGGGCGCAAGCCUGAUGCAGCGACGCCGCGUGGGGGAUGACGGCCUUCUGGUUGUAAACUCCUUUCAGCCAUGACGAAGCCCUUGUGGUGACGGUAGUGGUAGAAGAAGCACCGGCUAACUACGUG